AUGCCGCGUGUGUGAAGAAGGCCUGAGGGUUGUAAAGCACUUUCAGUGGGGAGGAGGAUAGCAUGGUUAAGAGCUGAGCUAUUGGACGUUACCUACAGAAGAAGCACCGGCUAACUCCGUGCCAGCAGCCGCGGUAAUACGGAGGGUGCGAGCGUUAAUCGGAAUUACUGGGCGUAAAGGGUGCGUAGGUGGUUAAAUAAGUUAGAUGUAAAAACCCUGGGCUUAACCUAGGACUGAGAUUUAAUACUGUUUAACUAGAGUAUGGGAGAGGGUAGUGGAAUUUCCGGUGUAGCGGUGAAAUGCGUAGAGAUCGGAAGGAACACCAGUGGCGAAGGCGGCUACCUGGCCUAAUACUGACACUGAGGCACGAAAGCGUGGGGAGCAAACAGGAUUAGAUACCCUGGUAGUCCACGCUGUAAACGAUGUCAACUAGCCGUUGG
Molecule: ribosomal RNA, 440 nt
Filed under: Legionella sp.
Lineage: Bacteria; Pseudomonadati; Pseudomonadota; Gammaproteobacteria; Legionellales; Legionellaceae
Description: bacterial SSU rRNA
Rfam family: Bacterial small subunit ribosomal RNA
Source: RNAcentral